UGCAGAAAUCAAGACAGUUGUCGAGCGGCCUCCUUUGGCCCUCACUCCUGUGUCCUUCCCAGAGGGACAAGCGAGUCGUGGUUUCACCUCUGGUCUUCGGAGCUGGACGACAAGGUCCCAGAGUCACCUCAGGAGCGAGUCGCAGCCUUGUUUCUCCUCAGAUCCCUCUAGAAGGGCGCCGCUGGGGCAUCACGCCGUCAGGGGGUGAAUCUCGUCGUCACAGCUCUUAGGGCUGUUCCGCGGGUGCUGUGAGGACCGGCUGCAGAGCACAGAGCAGAGGGCCUGGCGGGCAGGGGGCCGGUGGUGGGCGAGCCUCCAGCACCACUGUCCCCGGCAUGGGGCCCCUGCGCCCUCCCAUCCACGAGUGGAGCGGGGGGCUCUUCCCAGACACCCUGGCCCUGGCCGCCCCUGCGUCAGCCCCUCCCAGGUUUCCGUGGCCCCCUCAGCUAGCGAGCACUGACUGUGUGCAUCUCUUCCCAACUUGAGGUAGAGUGGGGGGCACACACGGCCCCAGAGGCCCCAGAGGCUGCGGGUGAGCCCCAAGGGAAGCAGACGCUGUCCCCUCGUCCUGUCUACCUUGGGUGGAACAGGAGGGCCUUGGCUGUGAGCACGGGUUACAAGAUCAAAAUCACAGGGCUGCCUUCACAGUGUGUAAACCACGGUCAGGGGCUUGGUUUGGGCCUCAGUUUCCACAUCUGUGAAAUGGGGAGGAGAGAGCUAAUUUGCAUGUUAAAGCAAUGCGAGAUGUGGUUUGAUGAGCACUUUGUAGCACAUAGUAGGUCCUCAAAUUUGCUGUCAGACUGUCUGCCACAGAGCCGGGGGCCCUUGUUGGGCCCAGGCACUGGAGGCACGCGGGCCCUCUUGAGGCUCCACCUGGGGAGGCCCAGGCUUGUCUCCAGGGAGCAAAGCGGAUACUGACGCAGCCCCCUCCGCCCCAGCCUGGGAACCACAGCAUUCUGGGACGUGGGGACUGCGCCAGGACGGGCCGCCAGCUCCCUCUGCUUCUCGUUAGGACUUGUCACCUCCCCCGCCCGGCCCCUCCCUGUUGGGCAGCAGCACUCCUCACCGUCCUUCUGGGACCAUCACGGCCCAGAAAGUCCUGUCAGCUCAGCAGGGUCAAGCCAGGGAAGCUGCGCCUUCCAGAAAGGAGGGGGAAGAGGCCGAGCCUGGACUCUGGACCCGUGAGCCAGGCCCGAGCUGAGCCGCAGAUGCUGUCCAGCCACCUGAACCAGGUGGCCUGUGAGCCUUCCAUCUGUGAGCAGAGACCGGGUCAGAAGUCUCUCCCGCAGGCAGGCGUGCCCGCUGCACUGCGUGUUCGAGACCAGCCAUGACCAUCCUCGGAGCUUCACGGGAAGCGCGUGCCGGGACCACUUUCCUCAGAGGAGCUGUGUGGACCUGCUCCUCGGCCUGCCUGUCGCACAUCCUUACAGCCCUCAGGGACAGAUAUUAUUAUCCCCAUCUUACAGGUGCCGGCGCCAUGCCGAGUAAUUUACCUGCUUCCUCUCUCAAUCCACGUAACCACCCCACGAGAUGGACACAUUGUUAUCCCAUUUCACAGAUAAGAAAGUUGAGGCCCAGAGAGCGAAGGAAACAUACACGAAGGCCUUGCCGGCCCCUGGACUGGGGCGACCCGUGGUUUGUGGAGGUCUUCGCCUGCAUGGUCCUUUGUCAGGAGGUCAGCUCAGAGCUCAGCCCUGCAGGUGGUAUGUCCCCCGUCCUGCGAGUGCAUUUGCAUGUGGUGAGGGAUAUGCUGUGCCCAAGCUUUGCCCCCCAGAGACCCAGAGGUAUCCCACCAAGGCCAAAGGGACGCUGUCCCCAGCCCUGCCGAGGCCAGGAACUCCAGGGAAGCUGUCGGCCGCAGAGCAUCAAGGAGCAGUGCAGGUCGUUUGGAGGGUUCGUCUUCUGAACCAGGAGCAGGGGCGCGGCUGCUCUGGGGUGUCCCCUCUGAGCUGGACACUCAGACGUGUGAUGCAUUACGUCACAUCACAGGCUGGCUACCUCUAGAUCGUGUCGUUCAUAUUCGAGGUCAGAGAGUUUUUGUAUGCCGGUGACUGUCACUUCCCGGGAAAUGGCGGUAAAGCGUCUUGAGGAAUGGGAAGCGUUUUCUAACUUCACCAACACACGCUUCAGGCUAGAAGCGGGGAGGUCAGGCAAUUGUUGUCGCAGCUCUGUGAGAUGCAGAUUAAAAGCUCCAUUGUACAGAUAGGGAAACUGAGGCUCAGAGAGUUUACCAAGCUUGACAGAACCAGGAUUUGGACCCAGGUCUUACCAGAGGAGUCUAUGCUCCUUCUCUGCGCCAAGCCUUCCUCCAUGGCCUCGUGUCACGGCCUGGGGAGAGGGGCCACAGUGAGAAAUCUAGAAACAAAACGAAAGACGUUCUUAAGACGUCAGACCAGGUGUGUGCGUCUGCCUCCCUCUCUGUUCCCGGUCCCACUGAAAUGACAGCAGAGAGGCACAAGGAGAAAAACUCAAAAAGCUGUUCAGGCCUGAACAGGGCCUACAAACCACUGAAGCUCCUGGAAAGUUUCUGGGGGACAAAUAGCUGGGAGCAGAGGGGGCCCCAGCUGAUGGAACUGGCUAAAGGAAGACUCGAGACGCUAGGGGAACCACCUGCAGGGCCGCCCAGGGUUUGCGGGUGUGGAGCGUGCGGUGAGAAGAGGCAGAGAGAACAGGAGCUGAGCUUGAGUCCUAUUUGCAGGUGAGCCGAGCCUGGUGGCGGAGAACGGCUAUCUAGUCCUCUGUAGACGCC
Molecule: long non-coding RNA, 2749 nt
Filed under: Equus caballus (horse)
Lineage: Eukaryota; Metazoa; Chordata; Mammalia; Perissodactyla; Equidae
Description: lncRNA (ENSECAG00000050690.1)
Source: RNAcentral